This 610-nucleotide ribosomal RNA is filed under the name uncultured bacterium. RNAcentral describes it as "bacterial SSU rRNA". It matches the Rfam family "Bacterial small subunit ribosomal RNA", at positions 338 to 946 of the family's 1533-position model. The record is from RNAcentral.
CCUACGGGAGGCAGCAGUAAGGAAUAUUGGUCAAUGGGCGCAAGCCUGAACCAGCCAUGCCGCGUGCAGGAAGACGGCCCUACGGGUUGUAAACUGCUUUUGUACCGGAAUAAACCUUUUCACGUGUGAGAAGCUGAAUGUACGGUAAGAAUAAGGAUCGGCUAACUCCGUGCCAGCAGCCGCGGUAAUACGGAGGAUCCAAGCGUUAUCCGGAUUUAUUGGGUUUAAAGGGUGCGUAGGCGGUUCUUUAAGUCAGGGGUGAAAGACGGUAGCUUAACUAUCGCAGUGCCUUUGAUACUGAAGAACUUGAAUACACUUGAGGUAGGCGGAAUGUGACAAGUAGCGGUGAAAUGCAUAGAUAUGUCACAGAACACCAAUUGCGAAGGCAGCUUACUAAAGUGUCAUUGACGCUGAGGCACGAAAGCGUGGGGAUCAAACAGGAUUAGAUACCCUGGUAGUCCACGCCCUAAACGAUGAAUACUCGAUGUUGGCGAUAUACGGUCAGCGUCUAAGCGAAAGCGUUAAGUAUUCCACCUGGGGAGUACGCCGCAAGGGUGAAACUUCAAAGGAAUUGACGGCUUGGNGAGNGCGAGACGACGACGAGGAGAGG